AAGAAAAACACCAUGUAAAGAUGUAUAAAGCAGGUCUUGUGCGGUUACAGAGGACAUGACAGCAUCAAGAGUUUGUAGGAGAAUCAUGAUGAUAAUCAGUUGCAAUGUGAACUAACAAAUAACCAUGAAGUACAAGCAGAUCCAAUUAAUGUGGAACAAAUAAAGGAGAAUCAUGAUGAUGAUGAGUUGCUAUGUGAACUACCAAAUAACCAUAAACUACAACCAGAUUCAAAGCAUAUGGAACAAAUAGAGGUGGAAUCAACUUCAGACGACAACUUUUCCAAACACCUUGUGAAAGUCAUCUGAAUGCCAGGAUUCUCAAGAGCAUGAAGAUUGUCCAUUACAUAGAAGGAAGACCUUGAUUAUGUAUCUUGAUGCCAUUGGUGAAAAGAUAGAGGUCUAACACUGACUGUGAAGAAAAUGACUUGACAGCUGAAGGGAACAUGAACAAUUUGAACCAGAUUUCUGAUAUGGCUCUUAAAGCAGUGAACUAAAAAACAUUUUCUUACUAAGUUUAAGAUUUUGAUAUCAAAGUUUUUGGAAGGGGGAUAUAGGAAUCACCCUGUUUGUUUGUCCAUCUGUCUGUGGACAACACUUGGAUUAUACUGCUCUAGCUCUAGUUGGUUAAAAUAGAUAAUAUCUAAAAUCAAAUGUGUCGUACUUCUUGUUUACUGUGCAUAAAUGUACUUUGAAGAACAUACUGUAUAAGUAGAAUUUUUAGCGAGGAUUUAAUUUUGGCAUUAUUAGAGAGGGUGCUGACAUCGCUAAAAUUGAAUAUUGCUAAAAAUUAAUGUCUUAUUAUUUGUAAUAGCUUCUUUAGUAAACAUUUUAAAAUCGCUAAAAUUACUUCUGGCUAAAAAUAAAAUACCAGACUUUGGUAGAAAUCGCUAAAUUUGCAUCUCGCUAAAAUUUCCACUUAUACGAUAUUUUAUUAUUUCUAGCAAAAUAUUUCUGUAAAAUAUUUGACUGUACACUUCAGAAAAAAUUCAGUCUCAGAAUCAGGUACAAGAUAUGCUGUAAUGGUGCCUAGUUGUGUCGCCUGCAUAGCAAGGGGACUCUUAGGGAUCACUUCUCCAUUGUCUGUCAGUCUGACUAGCUGACCAUCAGUCUAUCUGUCUGUCACAAUUUGAUAUGUCAUUCCUGAGACACACAUUUUCAAUGGAAAACUCUUGUUUUACGUUCAUAUCUGUGAUACUUUUAGUGAGCAUUGAUAUUUGACCAGUUGAUUGGUCUUUGAUAGUAAAAUAAGAUAAAACUUGAAAUAUAAAGUUGCUGUAAACUACAUUUUCACAAGCCUUGCUGAUGUUAAGGUUUAUUUUCAUUUGAAUAAGUAUAAGGUCAUCUUGUGUUUAACAGACACGACUUCUCAUUAUACCCCCUGUAAACGAAGUUUGGGGGGGGGGGUGUAUAUAGGAAUCAGCUUGUCUGUCUGUCUGUCUAUCCGUCCGUCCGUCUGUCUAGCUGUGCAAACAUGUACGGUCCAUAUCUUUCUUACGGAGGAACAUUAGAAUCUACUACUCCAUACAAAGAUUGCUCAUGACCUAAGAGUGUGUCAUGACCUUGACUCAAGGUCAUUUGGGGAAGUUCAAGGUCACUGGAAGAAAAAUUUCAUUAUUUGUGUCCGUUCCAUAUCUUUCUUAUGGAUUAACUUGGUAAGUUCCCAUUUUACAAAAAGAUUCCUCAUGACCUAAGGGUGUGUCAUGACCUUGACCCAAGGUCAUCUGUGCAUGUUCAAGGUCACUAAAAGAAAAAUUGUAAAAUUCAUGUUUGGUACAUAUCUUUAUUUUGGAUAAACUUGAAUCUACUACUUCACACAAAGAGGGUUUAUGACCUUCAUCAAAGUUUAUUUAAGUUCAAGGUCACUGAAAGGAAAAUUUCUUAAUAUGUGCAUGGUCCAUAUAUUGCUUAUGGAUAAACUGGUUAGUUCCUAUUUCACACAAAGAUUCCUUAUAACCUUAGGAUGUAUCAUUACCUUGAUGCAAGGUUAUCUAUGCAAGUUCAAGGUUAUAAAAGCAACAAGUUCCUAAUUCAUGUUUUGUACAUAUCUAUCUUAUGGAAAAACUUGGUAAGUUCCUGUUUUACACAAAAAUCGCUUAUUGUCUUGAGGAUGUGUCAUGACCUUGACCCAAGGUUCCUUGUGUCAGUUUAAUGUCACUGAAAGGAAAAACUUCAUAAUUUGUGCCUGGUCCAUAUCAUUCUUAUUGAUAAACUUGGAUACUUUCUUGUUUACACAAAGAUCACUUAUGACAUAAGGGUGUGUCAUGACUUUGACCGAAGGUCAAUUGUCCAAGUUCAAGUGCACAGACAGUAAAAAAAUUAUAAUUCAUGUCUGGUCCAUAUCUUUCUUAAGGAUAAACUUGGAAGGUUCCCAUUUUACACAAACAUUGCUUUGACCUGAGAACUUGUCAUGACUUUAAACCAAGGUCAUUUAUGCAAGUUCAAGGUCACUGACAAAAAAAAUUCAUAAUUCAUGUGUGAUCCAUACAUUCAGUCUAUUUUUUAGGCUGCACCUUCGUUUCAUUUAUAAAAAAAAAAUAAUGAGCAAUUACAUUUGCACUAAAAUGUUUUAGCUUUUCUCUCUUCUCUUAGAUCCAUAAAAUAUUCAUGAUUUAGCACUUCUGAAAAACCCAGCGGGGGGUAUUUUGUCCCAUUUGGACAGUUCUAGUUGUUUUUAGGUUUAUAACUUGAAUAAUAAACAUGGUACAGCAAUGUAAAUUAGCCAGUAGACAGAGCAUUGGCGUCCCUUUGGGUUGAACAUUGCGUCAUUUUGACAUAUAACUUCGGCUUUUGUUAUGUCAUAUAUGGUCAAGUUUUUGCGUAUUUGGUCCACAUUCUGACUAUAUUGUAUAACUAUUAGACAUUGUAGAGCAAUGGUACUUAUUAUUACUUAUAUGAUGGGGUAAGUACAACAGGGUUGACAGUUGAUCAGGAUGCCAUGACCCAAAUAUUCCACUUGAGAGGCUUUAAUUUCCUGGGUGUAUGUUUCAUGUUUUGCCGAUCCUAGUCAAGUCAGUUGCUAGGGUAUAAAUUCCGUUGCUAUGGAGAUUUCUUUUCCUAUUGUUUUGUAAAAAAGUCGUACAUUUUAUGGAGAUUUUUUUAAAGUACUAUGUUUCUGUAGAUAUGGCAUCUAACUGUUAAAUAUCUGUUGUAAUAUUAAAAAAAAAUUGCCAAAACUUGCGAAAAUUCAUUGAAAGUGUUUUGAAAAAAAUGCAAAUUUUGAUUUCUGAAAAAAAAAAUUGGGACAUCCAACUACCAAUUUUUAUUUUAUUAUUUCAUAGUAUUUGGAUAUAUCUUUAACUUUGUAUGACAUACAAUAUCCACGGUUGUUGCGUUUUUAAGUAUUCAACUUUUGAAAAACUUAAUUUUCCACGGAUAUUCCCAUCAUGAAAAUCUUGUCAUUUUUCGGUUGCCAUAGCAACCAUAUCAAAAUUUUUAAAAAUACUUACAGACAUAAAGCUAUUUUCUUCUGAUGCAUCUUUCAUUAUUUCAUUAUAAGAAAACAAAUUUAGACCUUCCAAUUGUUCCCCCCUCUGCAUUUAAAUAUGUCUAAAUUUGUAUUAUUUUACAAUGUUUCGUUGAGAAUUUACUAUGCAAAUCACAUUUGUUGCCAUGGAAACCAAUGAUGAUGAAUAAAUUUGUAAAAUUUGUCUCAAA
Molecule: long non-coding RNA, 3654 nt
Organism: Saccostrea cuccullata (small rock oyster)
Lineage: Eukaryota; Metazoa; Mollusca; Bivalvia; Ostreida; Ostreidae
Exons: 4
Source: RefSeq, a predicted model, not a curated record